CUCUACCUUAUUCUAAGUUCCUC
RNAcentral lists this non-coding RNA (23 nucleotides) under Arabidopsis thaliana (thale cress). Lineage: Eukaryota; Viridiplantae; Streptophyta; Magnoliopsida; Brassicales; Brassicaceae. The record is from RNAcentral.